UUCUUCGGGGCGGGGUGUGAUUCCCCACCGGCGGUGACAGUCCGCGACCUGCUUUGGUAUACCAGAGCAGCUGACCCGGUGAGAUUCCGGGACCGACAGUAUAGUCUGGAUGAGAGAAGAA
Molecule: non-coding RNA, 121 nt
Filed under: human gut metagenome
Description: FMN riboswitch (RFN element)
Rfam family: FMN riboswitch aptamer (RFN element)
About the family: The RFN element is a highly conserved domain that is found frequently in the 5'-untranslated regions of prokaryotic mRNAs that encode for flavin mononucleotide (FMN) biosynthesis and transport proteins.
Source: RNAcentral